CCGGGCGUAGCGCAGCGGUUGGCGCAGCGCGUAGACAACGCGUUCACGCCGGUUCGAAUCCGGCCCCCGCGA
RNAcentral lists this transfer RNA (72 nucleotides) under Kitasatospora cheerisanensis KCTC 2395. It matches the Rfam family "tRNA". Rfam says of the family: Transfer RNA (tRNA) molecules are approximately 80 nucleotides in length. Their secondary structure includes four short double-helical elements and three loops (D, anti-codon, and T loops). Further hydrogen bonds mediate the characteristic L-shaped molecular structure. tRNAs have two regions of fundamental functional importance: the anti-codon, which is responsible for specific mRNA codon recognition, and the 3' end, to which the tRNAs corresponding amino acid is attached (by aminoacyl-tRNA synthetases). tRNAs cope with the degeneracy of the genetic code in two manners: having more than one tRNA (with a specific anti-codon) for a particular amino acid; and 'wobble' base-pairing, i.e. permitting non-standard base-pairing at the 3rd anti-codon position. The record is from Rfam by way of RNAcentral. Lineage: Bacteria; Bacillati; Actinomycetota; Actinomycetes; Kitasatosporales; Streptomycetaceae.